ACGAUCAGUAACUGGUGUGAGAGCACGACCAGUCACACGGGCACUGAGACACGGGCCCGACUCCUACGGGAGGCAGCAGUAAGGAAUAUUGGUCAAUGGACGCAAGUCUGAACCAGCCAUGCCGCGUGGAGGAUGAAGGCCCUCUGGGUUGUAAACUUCUUUUAUUGGGGAAGAAACCCAUCUUUUCUAAGGUGGUUGACGGUACCCGAUGAAUAAGCACCGGCUAACUCCGUGCCAGCAGCCGCGGUAAUACGGAGGGUGCAAGCGUUAUCCGGAUUCACUGGGUUUAAAGGGUGCGUAGGUGGGCAGGUAAGUCAGUGGUGAAAUCUCCGGGCUUAACCCGGAAACUGCCGUUGAUACUAUCUGUCUUGAAUGUAGUGGAGGUGAGCGGAAUAUGUCAUGUAGCGGUGAAAUGCUUAGAUAUGACAUAGAACACCUAUUGCGAAGGCAGCUCGCUACACUAUUAUUGACACUGAGGCACGAAAGCGUGGGGAUCAAACAGGAUUAGAUACCCUGGUAGUCCACGCCCUAAACGAUGGAUACUCGACAUCAGCGAUACACAGUUGGUGUCUGAGCGAAAGCAUUAAGUAUCCCACCUGGGAAGUACGACCGCAAGGUUGAAACUCAAAGGAAUGACGA
RNAcentral lists this ribosomal RNA (639 nucleotides) under uncultured bacterium. RNAcentral's name for it is "bacterial SSU rRNA". It matches the Rfam family "Bacterial small subunit ribosomal RNA", at positions 276 to 916 of the family's 1533-position model. The record is from RNAcentral.